AGUUGAUAUCCAGUCAUCGCUUAAUAUGCUAUGUUGAAGUAUGUUAAGAGGAAAGUCCGAGCUCCAAUAAGAGCAUGAUGCUAGGUAAUGCCUAGGAGUUUGAAACUUAAGAGAGUGUCACAGAAAAUUACCGCCUUAGGGUAAGGGUGAAAAGGUGAGGUAAGAGCUCACCGCUUAUUUAGUGAUAAAUAAGGUCAAGAUAAACCUCAUUAGGAGCAAAAUCAAGUAAGCAAGCUUCCUUAGCUCUUGAGGGUAUGCUUGUGGGUAGAUUGCAUGAUUUUUCCAGUGAUGGAAAAGCAAGAUAGAUGAUGACAUAAUACAGAACUCGGCUUAUGGAUGUCAACUUCUA
This 349-nucleotide RNase P RNA is filed under the name Borrelia turicatae. RNAcentral describes it as "RNase P RNA component class A". It matches the Rfam family "Bacterial RNase P class A". From Rfam's summary of the family: Ribonuclease P (RNase P) is a ubiquitous endoribonuclease, found in archaea, bacteria and eukarya as well as chloroplasts and mitochondria. Its best characterised activity is the generation of mature 5'-ends of tRNAs by cleaving the 5'-leader elements of precursor-tRNAs. The record is from RNAcentral. Lineage: Bacteria; Pseudomonadati; Spirochaetota; Spirochaetia; Spirochaetales; Borreliaceae. RNAcentral also lists the same sequence under 1 other name.